UUUGUUUGUUAGCAUAUUCUUGAAAAUGAUGACCAAAGCGAAGCGGCUGGUGAACCCUAAUUAGUUGUCGGUGUUUGUUGGCAGAGCUCGUCUCUGUUUUCUUCGUCAUCUCCCAUCCCCGACCAGAGAUGCGCCUAACACACUAAAGCUUUCGACUUUCCGACACCCUCUCAGGUUUUUCCUGCCCAUUACAUAGUGCAACUUGAAUUGGAUGCACAUGUUAGCGAAAGCACAUAGUAAGGGGGACGGAACCAAGUCCCUGGCUAAGAUACUGGCGAAAUGGAAAGAAUAUAAUGCCCAGCUUGAUUCCUGUGAUGAUGCGGAUAAACCAGUUCGCAAAGUUCCUGCCAAGGGAUCAAAAAAAGGGUGUAUGAAAGGUAAAGGUGGGCCUGAGAACUCGCGGUGUAAUUACAGAGGUGUUAGGCAGAGGACUUGGGGAAAGUGGGUUGCUGAAAUCAGAGAGCCGAACAGAGGGAAUAGGCUCUGGCUAGGUACUUUUCCCACUGCCAUUGGAGCUGCCCUUGCAUAUGAUGAAGCAGCGAGGGCAAUGUAUGGAUCCUGUGCCCGUCUUAACUUUCCCAAUGUUUCAGUUUCCAGUUUCUCUGAGGAAUCCUCCAAAGAUUCUCCAUUGGCGAAUCAUUCUGGUUCCUCAAUGGCUGUGUCUGCAAAUGAAUCCAUGGUUUCACUUAGUAACUCUAAGGGGGGAGGAGCAGAAGAGGAUGUUGAUAUGGAGCCCAUUUCCUUAUCCUUAAGUGUAAAACACGAGAACGGUGAAGGUGAAUCAGGGAUAAGUUCAUCCCCUCCUUCUUCUUCAUAGUGUACAUUUGAACAUGGCUAAAAUUCUUAGCUAAUGUACUUGUUAAUGGUAGCUUAGGUUUAAUGAAUCCUGAUAUGUGGUCCCUGGAGAUUAGCUGCCGUAAAACUAAAAUGAACUUUGUUGCAAAAUGGUCAUUCUUCUGAUCUUGGCCUAAUGUGCUCAGGAUAGAAUAGUGUAUGGUGACUCUCUCCACAAAGCAGAUGGGAACAAAGCAUGAAGUAUUUGAGUUUGAGAUGGAUUUGCCGCAAUUUCAAACCAACAUGGAUGGGAAACUCAAUCUUUUCUAUAUAAUAAAAUCAUAUCGGAUUAACAAAAAAGACGACAUUCUCAAGAGCAGAGAAUAGGAAGAUUCAUAACCAUAAUUAUGUCAAAGUUUUGAAGUUUUUGCUUUUCUAGAAAUAUUUGUUGUGCUGUUUCCUGUGACCUUCUGCCCGCAAUCCCAUAAUGCUAGCUGUACUGAGUAUCUCUUCUUUCCA
Vigna radiata var. radiata (mung bean) is the source of this 1293-nucleotide RNA transcript. It is a transcript of the gene named putative dehydration-responsive element-binding protein 2H, with no coding region annotated. The transcript is spliced from 3 exons. The record is from RefSeq and is a predicted model, not a curated record. NCBI's taxonomy places the organism in Eukaryota, Viridiplantae, Streptophyta, Magnoliopsida, Fabales, Fabaceae.